UUUGUGUUGGAACAGUUGUGUCAGAUUGAUAUUUUAUAAUUUUUUCUCACAAAUUUUGCUGUAAUUUAGCGUCCGUCGAAAUAAAUUUUCAUCAACUUACAAUUUUUUUUUUAUAUUCAUAUGUAAAGCCUGCACAUAGAAGUGUAGAAGGAGUCUAGAACAAUUUUAUGCAAGCCUAUUGGUAAGCAGCUAUCUGCAAUGUCCAUGCGAAGCUUGAUCAAGCAAUUCUUGGCACCAAGAGUUCCUUUGUGCGAGGAGAGAGAUUUUGGUGGUUUUAUGAAACCGGCGCCUCAUUUCUUUUCGCGCCUCUGCGCUUGAUUUGUAGUGCCGCGGGCUUAGAUUCGAAAUUUAGCGGCAUAUUCGGUGCACCGCCGCGUAGUUGUUCUCUCCUCCACCGGGCCCACCCAUAGACGAGGUAUAUCGAUUCGACCAAUCUUCCAGCUUGAAAUCCUCCCUGCAAGCAAUUAGGGACAACUUGGCCACCUAGGCCAGCCAUCAUGGGUCGCCAGCAGGGCUCGUGUAAGGUGUUGGUCUCCCGUAUUCCCAAGCGCGUCGACAAACAGGACAUUCGUUCGUUACUCUCGACUUACGGCAACAUCCAGUCGUGUGACACGUUAGAGGACGAGAGAAAUCUGUCAAAUAAUCGCCAGCUCGGGCAGAAAAGCGAGUGUUAUCGCGUGACCGCGACUUACGAUAACCCCGAGCAGGCGGAGCAGGCCGUGCGCAACCUGGCUAGACGCCCAUACGCAGGGGGAAUUCUGCGAGCGGAGUACUAUAGCUCGGCGUCCUUCAACGGACACCAUUACAGCAACGGCCACAUCCACACUUAUUUUAACGGACACGACCCCGUUCACAAACGUCACAACAACGUAAUGGGCGGAGGUCGCGGUGCCAGUGGACUCACAAACGGUCGUGGAGGUGGCGUCGGGAUGUCAAACGGACUGGGAGGCUUGGCCGGAGGCUUAGGACCAGGACCAUUUGGGCCCUACGGAGGCCCAAGUGGUCACGGUCACGCGCCUCUGGGCCCGCCCCCACCGCCCCCGAAGGAUAUCCCGCUCCGCAUGCUGGUUCCCUCAGAGAUGGUCGGCGCCAUCAUCGGUAAGAGCGGCGCGACCAUCAAGCAGAUUACGCAGCAGAGCCGCGCAAGAGUCGAUGUGCAUAGUGAUAACAGGAAAGACGCGGGAGGCAUUUACAAUCAGGGACAGGUGGAGAAGGUAAUCAACAUCUACGGGUCCGUUGAUAACUGCUCGGCGGCCUGCAAAAAGAUACUGGAGGUGAUGCAGCAGGAAGCGGCGAAUCCGUCGGAUUCCGGCGCCGCCGCUGCUGCCAAACGUUCAGACGAACCAAUCGUGCUUAAGCUGCUUGCACAUAACAAUCUAGUUGGCCGAGUCAUCGGGCGCAGUGGUGCUGUCAUCAAGAAAGUGAUGGACGAAACCUCGGCGAAGGUCAACGUUUCGUCAAUGGCGGAUCCUCGUGAACGAGUGAUAAUUAUUAAGGGUUCACUUGACGAGAUGUCGAAAGCUCAACAACAGAUUACAGCGAAGAUGCGACAGUGCUAUGAGCAUGAUAUGCAGCAAGCAGCAUCGAUGAUGGGCGGCUACGGUGGACCGCCAGGCCCGCUUGGUCAAGGUGGCCAUGGGAGUGGCGGCGCAAUGGGUCACGGUGGUGCCGGCGGGGCAAUGGGUCAUCAUCAUCAUCAUCAUCAUCAUCAUCAUAGCCUUGGGGGAGGCCACGGGACAGGCAUGGGUCCGCCCCCGCCUCCCCCGCCUCCUCCCGCCUACCCACCGCCGUUCCAUAGGCCACCACUGCCACCUCCACCACCACAUGCGCAUCAUGGUGGCCCCGGAGGGCCAGCUGGUGCUGGAGGCCACGGGUUGCCCCAUUACGGGCCUCCAUAUGGUCCCAUGGGUGUGCCCGCCCCCGGCGGACAUUUCUAUCCUCCCGGAGACGGCAGCGUAGAGACGGUCCAGGUAUGGGUUCCAUCAUGCACCGUUGGGGCCAUUAUCGGCACGGGCGGCUCGUCAAUCCGGGAGAUGAUAAGAGUGUCCGGCUGCAGCAUCAAGGUGUCGCCUAGCAGCGCCAAAGAGGAGAACCGCUCGAAGGACGAUGCGGCUAAGAAGGAUGGUUCAAAGGACGACACCCCUAGCUCUUCGGGGGCGGAGCCAGCCGGUCGACGGGAAGGCGGCGUCGGUGGUGUCGGAAUCUACCCCCAUCCGUCGGACCGACGAGUGACGCUUACCGGCUCAGCCGAAGCGCAGUGGCGAGCCCAAUGCCUACUCUAUCGUAAGGUAUUCCUCGAGGCGGCACAACACCUAGAUUCGAAUCCCGAAGCUGCUGCCGACCCGCAAGUACAGGCUGGCCACCUGCGCGUCGAAAUGAACGUGCCUAGCAACCAGGUGGGUCGCAUUAUCGGCAAAGGCGGACAAACAGUAAAAGAGCUACAGCGCUUGACGCAUGCGCUAAUCAAACUUCCAGAAGAAUCGUCCAGGGGCGGGCAAAGUAGCAGUCCAGAGCCCGACGAUGAGACGCCCGUUCACAUCAUUGGGGACUUCUACGCCGUUCAGGCCGCACAAAGGCAGAUUCGCGCUCUUGUUGCACGAAACGCGAACACUUCUGGCCCAUCAGGAACAUCAACCGCAAAUAACAACGCUGCCCUCAAAAAGAAGGACGAUGCAGCAGUAACGACGGCUGUGGCCACAGCGGCUAAAACCGCUGCUGGCACGACCGUCGCAACCCCAACUGCAACCACCACCCCUGUCACUACUACCCAGAAGGUGGACGCCAAGUCUAUCUGCCAGAAAUCAAGUCGCCAUUACUCGAUGAUGAUGAUCUCCUCCAAUUAGCGCAACGAUCUGUCUUCAGAGGGACAGAGAGGAUCAUGGAAUGCGAUCUGGGGAAAAUGAACAGGGCGACAUCUUGUUGUGAAAACGGGUGAAGGAACGAGUAGGAGGAAGAAGCGGGCGGGGGAGGGGUACGGACGAUGACGACCACAACUUCAACAACAAACAGCAGUAUAAGUAAACAGUGGACAACAGCUAUGAUCCAUUUAUU
Molecule: RNA transcript, 3051 nt
Organism: Varroa destructor (honeybee mite)
Lineage: Eukaryota; Metazoa; Arthropoda; Arachnida; Mesostigmata; Varroidae
Gene name: insulin-like growth factor 2 mRNA-binding protein 1
Source: RefSeq, a predicted model, not a curated record